RNAcentral lists this ribosomal RNA (110 nucleotides) under Pseudomonadota bacterium. Lineage: Bacteria; Pseudomonadati; Pseudomonadota. The record is from RNAcentral.
UGCCUUUAGCGAAGAGGAAACGCCCGUUCCCAUCUCGAACACGGAAGCUAAGCUCUUCAGCGCCAAUGAUACUGCAGUCUUAACUGUGGGAAAGUAGGUCGGUGCACCCU